Molecule: non-coding RNA, 2836 nt
Organism: Saimiri boliviensis boliviensis (Bolivian squirrel monkey)
Lineage: Eukaryota; Metazoa; Chordata; Mammalia; Primates; Cebidae
Source: RefSeq, a predicted model, not a curated record
ACCAAAUCGUGUUACGACCAAAUCAUGCCACGACCGGUCUGUCGGAACCAAUUGUGGUCUGUGGUCGUAAGUCGGGCACUAGCUGUGAUUGUUUUGGGCUGCCAUGACCCACACCCAUAGAAGAUGGUGAACCUAAUCGAUAAAUGUGUGUUGUGAGUGCUGCUUCAAACCCUGUUCGUCCGUCUCUCUCCAACUCCUUGGGCCUCCCUCUUCCUGAGACAUAACAAUAUUGAAAUUAGACCAAUUAAUAACGUUACAGUGGACUCUUAAGUGUUUAAAUGAAAGGAAUAGUUGCACAUCUGUGACUUUAGAUCAAAAGCUAGAAAUGAAAAGCUGAGAUAGGACAAAAGCUACGCCUCUCGUGGCAAACAGACAAGCUGUGAAUACAAAGGAAAAGUUCUCGAAGGAAAUUAAAAGUGCUGCUCCUUUGAACACAGGAAUAAGAAAGUAAAACAGCCUUAUUGCUGAUACGGAGAAAGUCUGAGUGGUCCGGAUAGAAAAUCGAUCAGUCCAGCUACAACAUUCCCAAGCCAAAGCCUAGUCCAGAGCAAGGACCUAACUUUUCAAUUCCGUGAAAGCUGAGAGAGAUGAGGAAGCUACGGAAGAAAAGUUGGAAGCUAGCAGAGGUUGGUUCAUCGGGUUUAAGGAAAGAGGCCAUGUCUGUAACAAAGUGCAAGACGAAGCAGCACGUUCUGAUGCAGAAGCUGCAGCAAGUUAUCCAGAAGACCUGGCUGAGCUCUCUGAUGCAGAACUAAGAGGUCUUUCAGCGCAGCUGCCACCCCUAGAGCUUCCAGUACACCAGCAUCAGCUUGGGGACCAUGUCCUCAUCCAAAGCUGGAGAGAAGGAAAAGCUCGAAGCAGCCUGGGAAGGACCUUACCUAGUUUUCCUAACUACUGAAACCGCAGACCAGACAGAAAGAGGGUGGACUCAUCACACCCAAGUCGAGAAAGCUCUGCCCACUCUGGAGUCAUGGGCCAUAGUCCCGGGGGGAAACCCUGCCAAACUAAAGCUAAGAAAAGUUUAACCGGCCCUCGUUUAUUUUAUUACUCCUUCCUUCCGUGUUCUACUGCUGACCACCUCAUUAUUAAUGUAACCAGGUCACCUUUUCCUCCAACGAUCACAUUUGAUGCCUGUCUCACCACACCUUGUGGAGCUCUCCAAAACCGAAAGCAACUGGCCUCCUCAGAAAAAUAUAUGUCCUUCCAAAAUAACUUCUGACCUCCACGACCCUUGCAUCAUAGAAACCAAGCCCCCAACAUUUCUCGAAUUUUGGGAACUAAGGUCGACUUUCCAGGAUGGUACUGUCCCUCCUGGGACGAUGUCCAAUGGGCCACUGAGGAGAAGGGUGGACUUACUCAAAGGGCUUCACCUCUCCAAAACCAUACGUCCGUUUUACCCAAGAAAGCGUUCCUUCUAAUUGUCAACGGUAUCAGUGCGAUCCAGUGCAGCUCUCUAUUCUUAUCUCUACUAGACUCUGCCAGUCCUGACCCACUUAGGUCCCUUCUGUGGCACAGGAGCCAACUUGCUGGCACAGACCUCAAAGGAUCUUUGGAAAUGCAUUUUAUUAACCCCUCAUCCUCUUCACCCCCUUCCUUCUCUUCUCCUUUUGGACUUUCUCAUCAAACUGUCAUUCUUCCAUACCCAGUGAUAGGACCAAAGUGGAUGUUGUGGAAGUAAAUGAUUUAAAACCAGCUUUAGCAAUAGAGACAGGAUAUCAAGAUGCAAAUGCCUGGUUGGAAUGAAUCAAAUAUUCCAUCUCUACAUUAAACAAAAGCGAUUGUUAUACUUGUGUGCACGGCUGACCAGAGGCCCAGAUGCUCCCUUUUCACUAGGACGGUCCUCCAGUCGACCAGACAUGGGCCGUAUGGUAAUUCUUUUCCAGGAUUCUACAGCCUGGGGUAACAAGUCAUGCCAAGCUCGCUCUCUGCUAUAUCCCGAAGUGCAAUACGCUGCGGGUCAGCCUGCAAGGACCAUCCAGCUUCCAUCCCUGAACACCAAGUUCACUUCACGUGUCUCACGACAAGGAGGAAACAGCGUUCCUUGGAGACCUGAAGUGAUGCAAUGAGCUUAAGACUUCUCGAGAGCUUACCAACCAGCCCUUGUUCAUCCCCAAGCAGAUGUAUGGUGGUAUUGUGGUGGACUUGACUGUGCUCUGGUCCAAUUCGCUAUGCCUUUGACCCUGGCAUUUCAUCAGCCAGAGAAAGGAAAAACACAGCAUCGUAAAGCAAGAGAAGCCCCUUAUGGGUGUUUUGACUCUCACGUUUAUUUAUAGAUGCAAUUGGAGUCCCACAAAGAGUACCAGAUAAAUUUAAAGGCUGAGAUCAAGCGGCUUCAAGACUCGAGUCAAUAUUUUGGAAGAGCAUUGUCAUUGGGCUCAGGGAGAGACUGCACUUCUUGUCUGCUUUGCUGCGAGUGCGACCUUGUGGCCAAGUGCAGAUCGUGUGCAGUGAUGACAGUACAGCUUCCAGGCCAUCCCAGCACGAAAGAUCAGCCCUCAUCCUGCAGCGGUGGUCUUUCCUCUUCAUACAGGCUGGAAUGUGCAUGUGCUCCCACCCAGCACUGACCAUGGGAGAAGACAGUGCCUUGCAGUAUGGCAGAGCAAAGGUGGAAAGGGCCUGGGUCCUUGAGUGACUUCAUGAGCUUUCUCACUAUCCCAAACCUUGGGACUACUCUAUGACAAGGACUUUCCGUGAGUCACUGUCUUUUGGAGUCUGUUUUAGCUGCCGGCACUUUAUCCUGAACAAUAUGGCUGUUAUCAUGUGUAUAUUGUUACUAUGAGCAUCAUCUAAGUAAUUUCUACUCUGCCUUUGACCACUAAGCUCAUGUUGGACAAGA